This is a long non-coding RNA of Etheostoma cragini (Arkansas darter), 150 nucleotides long. RefSeq lists it as uncharacterized. The transcript is spliced from 3 exons. The record is from RefSeq and is a predicted model, not a curated record. Lineage: Eukaryota; Metazoa; Chordata; Actinopteri; Perciformes; Percidae.
GUUUAACAAGGCCGGUCUGCUCGGUUCUUUCAGGAAAUGAUUGGAAAGAUUUGCAAAGAAUAUGUUUAGGGCUUUUCUUCUCUAACUGGGAUGUUUUUGGACCGAUUUGUGUGAUUGCUGUGGACAAAGUACACACAAAGAUACACUGGU